Molecule: small nucleolar RNA, 98 nt
Organism: Coffea eugenioides
Lineage: Eukaryota; Viridiplantae; Streptophyta; Magnoliopsida; Gentianales; Rubiaceae
Product: small nucleolar RNA snoR117
Exons: 1
Source: RefSeq, a predicted model, not a curated record
GACCUGUGAUGUAUCGGUAAAAUUGUCCGUACCAUCUGAUUGAGGAUCUCACUUAGAUCCUUUCUCUGAUGAUUCUUAAAGCCUAUAUUCUGAGGUCU